This 253-nucleotide ribosomal RNA is filed under the name uncultured bacterium. Its description in RNAcentral is "partial 16S ribosomal RNA". It matches the Rfam family "Bacterial small subunit ribosomal RNA", at positions 524 to 776 of the family's 1533-position model. The record is from RNAcentral.
UACGUAGGGGGCAAGCGUCGUCCGGAAUCAUUGGGCGUAAAGCGCGUGUAGGCGGUUACGUAAGUCUGCUGUGAAAGUCGGAGGCUCAACCUUCGAAAGCCGGUGGAUACUGCGUGACUUGAGUUCGGAAGGGGCUAGUGGAAUUCCUGGUGUAGCGGUGAAAUGCGCAGAUAUCAGGAGGAACACCAACGGCGAAGGCAGCUAGCUGGUACGACACUGACGCUGAGACGCGAAAGCGUGGGGAGCAAACAGG